Molecule: ribosomal RNA, 351 nt
Filed under: uncultured bacterium
Lineage: Bacteria
Description: bacterial SSU rRNA
Rfam family: Bacterial small subunit ribosomal RNA
Source: RNAcentral
AAUCAACGCUGGCGGCGUGCCUCAGACAUGCAAGUCGAACGCGAUUUAUUCUUUCGGGAAUAGAUUGAGUGGCGCACGGGUGAGUAACACGUAGGUAAUCUACCUUUGGGUGGGGAAUAACAGCCGGAAACGGCUGCUAAUACCGCAUAAAGCAGCGGCAUCACAUGAUGACAGUUGUUAAAGCGGGGGAGUCUGAAAGGAACCUCGCGCCAGAAGAGGAGCCUGCGGCAGAUUAGCUAGUUGGUGAGGUAACGGCUCACCAAGGCGACGAUCUGUAGCCGGCCUGAGAGGGCGGUCGGCCACACUGACACUGACAUACGGGUCAGACUCCUACGGGAGGCAGCAGUCGGG